GAUGAACGCUGGCGGCGUGCCUAAUACAUGCAAGUCGAGCGAACGGACGAGAAGCUUGCUUCUCUGAUGUUAGCGGCGGACGGGUGAGUAACACGUGGAUAACCUACCUAUAAGACUGGGAUAACUUCGGGAAACCGGAGCUAAUACCGGAUAAUAUUUUGAACCGCAUGGUUCAAAAGUGAAAGCCGGUCUUGCUGUCCCUUAUAGAUGGAUCCGCGCUGCAUUAGCUAGUUGGUAAGGUAACGGCUUACCAAGGCAACGAUGCAUAGCCGACCUGAGAGGAUGAUCGGCCACACUGGAACUGAGACACGGUCCAGACUCCUACGGGAGGCAGCAGUAGGGAAUCUUCCGCAAUGGGCGAAAGCCUGACGGAGCAACGCCGCGUGAGUGAUGAAGGUCUUCGGAUCGUAAAACUCUGUUAUUAGGGAAGAACAUAUGUGUAAGUAACUGUGCACAUCUUGACGGUACCUAAUCAGAAAGCCACGGCUAACUACGUG
Molecule: ribosomal RNA, 497 nt
Filed under: uncultured bacterium
Lineage: Bacteria
Description: partial 16S ribosomal RNA
Rfam family: Bacterial small subunit ribosomal RNA
Source: RNAcentral